CCUGUUAGCAAGGGCCGGGCAAGACCGGUGCCAGCCGCCGCGGUAACACCGGCGGCCCGAGUGGUAAUCGUGAUUAUUGGGUCUAAAGGGUCCGUAGCCGGUUUGGUCAGUCCUCCGGGAAAUCUGAUAGCUCAACUAUUAGGCUUUCGGGGGAUACUGCCAGACUUGGAACCGGGAGAGGUAAGAGGUACUACAGGGGUAGGAGUGAAAUCUUGUAAUCCCUGUGAGACCACCUGUGGCGAAGGCGUCUUACCAGAACGGGUUCGACGGUGAGGGACGAAAGCUGGGGGCACGAACCGGAUUAGAUACCCGUGUAGUCC
This 320-nucleotide ribosomal RNA is filed under the name uncultured archaeon. RNAcentral's name for it is "bacterial SSU rRNA". It matches the Rfam family "Archaeal small subunit ribosomal RNA", at positions 428 to 747 of the family's 1478-position model. The record is from RNAcentral.